This 69-nucleotide transfer RNA is filed under the name Marmota marmota marmota (Alpine marmot). It matches the Rfam family "tRNA". From Rfam's summary of the family: Transfer RNA (tRNA) molecules are approximately 80 nucleotides in length. Their secondary structure includes four short double-helical elements and three loops (D, anti-codon, and T loops). Further hydrogen bonds mediate the characteristic L-shaped molecular structure. tRNAs have two regions of fundamental functional importance: the anti-codon, which is responsible for specific mRNA codon recognition, and the 3' end, to which the tRNAs corresponding amino acid is attached (by aminoacyl-tRNA synthetases). tRNAs cope with the degeneracy of the genetic code in two manners: having more than one tRNA (with a specific anti-codon) for a particular amino acid; and 'wobble' base-pairing, i.e. permitting non-standard base-pairing at the 3rd anti-codon position. RNAcentral also lists the same sequence under 1 other name. Lineage: Eukaryota; Metazoa; Chordata; Mammalia; Rodentia; Sciuridae. The record is from Rfam by way of RNAcentral.
GGAGUUGUGGCUCAGUGGUAGAGUGCCCAUCUUGCAUGUGUGAGGCACUGGGUUCGAUUCUCAGCACCA